RNAcentral lists this ribosomal RNA (270 nucleotides) under uncultured archaeon. RNAcentral's name for it is "partial 16S ribosomal RNA". It matches the Rfam family "Archaeal small subunit ribosomal RNA", at positions 477 to 747 of the family's 1478-position model. The record is from RNAcentral.
CAGCACCUCAAGUGGUCAGGAUGAUUAUUGGGCCUAAAGCAUCCGUAGCCGGCGCUGUAAGUUUUCGGUUAAAUCUGUAUGCUCAACAUACAGGCUGCCGGGAAUACUGCAGAGCUAGGGAGUGGGAGAGGUAGACGGUACUCGGUAGGAAGGGGUAAAAUCCUUUGAUCUAUUGAUGACCACCUGUGGCGAAGGCGGUCUACCAGAACACGUCCGACGGUGAGGGAUGAAAGCUGGGGGAGCAAACCGGAUUAGAUACCCGAGUAGUCC